Molecule: transfer RNA, 63 nt
Filed under: Daphnia magna
Lineage: Eukaryota; Metazoa; Arthropoda; Branchiopoda; Diplostraca; Daphniidae
Description: tRNA-Asp
Source: RNAcentral
GAAGAGUUAGUUAAAUAAUAACAUUAACUUGUCAUGUUAAAAUUACUUUAGAAGUGCUUUUCU